RNAcentral lists this ribosomal RNA (446 nucleotides) under uncultured bacterium. RNAcentral describes it as "SSU rRNA". It matches the Rfam family "Bacterial small subunit ribosomal RNA", at positions 26 to 518 of the family's 1533-position model. The record is from RNAcentral.
AGAGCGAACGCUGGCGGCAGGCUUAACACAUGCAAGUCGAGCGGGCGUAGCAAUACGUCAGCGGCAGACGGGUGAGUAACGCGUGGGAACGUACCUUUGGUUCGGAACAACCCAGGGAAACUUGGGCUAAUACCGGAUAAGCCCUUACGGGGAAAGAUUUAUCGCCGAAAGAUCGGCCCGCGUCUGAUUAGCUAGUUGGUGAGGUAAUGGCUCACCAAGGCGACGAUCAGUAGCUGGUCUGAGAGGAUGAUCAGCCACAUUGGGACUGAGACACGGCCCAAACUCCUACGGGAGGCAGCAGUGGGGAAUAUGGACAAUGGGCGCAAGCCUGAUCCAGCCAUGCCGCGUGAGUGAUGAAGGCCCUAGGGUUGUAAAGCUCUUUUGUGCGGGAAGAUAAUGACGGUACCGCAAGAAUAAGCCCCGGCUAACUUCGUGCCAGCAGCCGC